UUUGCGGCGACCUUAGCCUAGGAGAAACGCCUGGUCCCUUUCCGAACCCAGAAGCUAAGUCCUAGCACGGCAAUGGUACUGCACUCGGUAGGGUGUGGGAGAGUAGCGCGUCGCCGCUU
RNAcentral lists this ribosomal RNA (119 nucleotides) under Bifidobacterium magnum. The record is from RNAcentral. Lineage: Bacteria; Bacillati; Actinomycetota; Actinomycetes; Bifidobacteriales; Bifidobacteriaceae.